UACGUAGGUGACCAGCGUUGUCCGGAUUUACUGGGCGUAAAGAGCGCGCAGGCGGUCGUUCAAGUCGAGUGUGAAAGCCCCCGGCUCAACUGGGGAGGGUCACUCGAUACUGAUCGACUUGAAGGCAGGAGAGGGAAGCGGAAUUCCCGGUGUAGUGGUGAAAUGCGUAGAUAUCGGGAGGAACACCAGUGGCGAAGGCGGCUUCCUGGCCUGUUCUUGACGCUGGGGCGCGAAAGCUAGGGGAGCAAACGGG
RNAcentral lists this ribosomal RNA (253 nucleotides) under uncultured bacterium. Its description in RNAcentral is "partial 16S ribosomal RNA". It matches the Rfam family "Bacterial small subunit ribosomal RNA", at positions 524 to 776 of the family's 1533-position model. The record is from RNAcentral.